CCAAACAUGUUGGUUAAACCCCCUCCUCUACUA
Molecule: transfer RNA, 33 nt
Filed under: Bufo spinosus
Lineage: Eukaryota; Metazoa; Chordata; Amphibia; Anura; Bufonidae
Description: partial tRNA-Met
Source: RNAcentral